This 461-nucleotide ribosomal RNA is filed under the name uncultured bacterium. RNAcentral's name for it is "bacterial SSU rRNA". It matches the Rfam family "Bacterial small subunit ribosomal RNA", at positions 339 to 793 of the family's 1533-position model. The record is from RNAcentral.
CUACGGGAGGCAGCAGUGGGGAAUAUUGCACAAUGGGCGCAAGCCUGAUGCAGCCAUGCCGCGUGUGUGAAGAAGGCCUUCGGGUUGUAAAGCACUUUCAGUUGUGAGGAAGGUGGUGUCGUUAAUAGCGGCAUCAUUUGACGUUAGCAACAGAAGAAGCACCGGCUAACUCCGUGCCAGCAGCCGCGGUAAUACGGAGGGUGCGAGCGUUAAUCGGAAUUACUGGGCGUAAAGCGCAUGCAGGUGGUUUGUUAAGUCAGAUGUGAAAGCCCGGGGCUCAACCUCGGAACUGCAUUUGAAACUGGCAGACUAGAGUACUGUAGAGGGGGUAGAAUUUCAGGUGUAGCGGUGAAAUGCGUAGAGAUCUGAAGGAAUACCGGUGGCGAAGGCGGCCCCCUGGACAGAUACUGACACUCAGAUGCGAAAGCGUGGGGAGCAAACAGGAUUAGAUACCCUGGUAG